RNAcentral lists this ribosomal RNA (489 nucleotides) under Treponema sp. oral taxon 251. RNAcentral describes it as "bacterial SSU rRNA". It matches the Rfam family "Bacterial small subunit ribosomal RNA", at positions 29 to 502 of the family's 1533-position model. Lineage: Bacteria; Pseudomonadati; Spirochaetota; Spirochaetia; Treponematales; Treponemataceae. The record is from RNAcentral.
AACGAACGCUGGCGGUGCGUCUUAAGCAUGCAAGUCGAACGGUAAGAAGAGAGCUUGCUCUUUUCCUAGAGUGGCGGACUGGUGAGUAACGCGUGGAUGAUCUACCUUUAAGAUGGGGAUAGCUUCUAGAAAUAGGAGAUAAUACCGAAUAACCUUAUCGUGUUAUGACGUGAUAAGAAAAUGGAGCGUUAGCUCCGCUUGAAGAUGAGUCUGCGUCCCAUUAGCUAGUUGGUAAGGUAAAGGCUUACCAAGGCGAUGAUGGGUAUCCGGCCUGAGAGGGUGAACGGACACAUUGGGACUGAGAUACGGCCCAAACUCCUACGGGAGGCAGCAGCUGAGAAUCUUCCGCAAUGGACGAAAGUCUGACGGAGCGACACCGCGUGAACGAUGAAGGCCGGAAGGUUGUAAAUUCUUUUGCAGACAAAGAAUAAGGAUAGAAGGAAGUGACUAUCUGAUGACGGUAGUUAUGCGAAUAAGCCCCGGCUAAUU